CGCGCCCGUAGCUCAGCUGGAUAGAGCGCCGCCCUCCGGAGGCGGAGGUCGCAGGUUCGAAUCCUGCCGGGCGCGU
This 76-nucleotide transfer RNA is filed under the name Actinomycetes bacterium. RNAcentral describes it as "tRNA-Arg". It matches the Rfam family "tRNA". Rfam says of the family: Transfer RNA (tRNA) molecules are approximately 80 nucleotides in length. The record is from RNAcentral. Lineage: Bacteria; Bacillati; Actinomycetota; Actinomycetes.